RNAcentral lists this long non-coding RNA (6033 nucleotides) under Brassica napus (rape). Its description in RNAcentral is "long non-coding RNA (BNAP_LNC001269)". The record is from RNAcentral. Lineage: Eukaryota; Viridiplantae; Streptophyta; Magnoliopsida; Brassicales; Brassicaceae.
UGAGUUAGUCUUUCUCUUCUUGUUAGGCUGAACAAUCUCUUCUUCUUCUUCGCAUUUAACCGGGUUAUCCUCGGUUUGAUGAUGGUGAUGGUGAUGCAUGGACGGGGCUGAUGAAGUUUCGGGGAGAACGUUUCCGUAGUUAGGAGAGGUUGUUACAGGCAACAUGUUGAAGAACUUGUCCUUCUGUUGGUUAAUCCAGUUGUAGCUCAUGUGGAUUGGUGGCUCAGCGUGGUGGUAUGACCCGUUUUGGCCAAUCAUUAGAUUUGGAUCUCGACCGGGUAGAAACGGUUUAGUGUUCCGGUCAGCGCUUGACAUUAGCUGCAAACCGAGGUUGCCUUUGAACGUAGCAGCAGCUGGUUCGUAGUAACCCCAAUUGCGAAACCCAUCGUCAUCCAUUUUCAAAGAUCUACAAAACAUGUCAAUAUAAAAAAAAGACAAUCAGAGAUUCAAAUCCAAAUUCAGACAAAACAAAAGCCAGUUCAUGUUCCAAUUAGCCAAAAUCAAAUCAUCCUACCAUUUAUUAUAUCCAAUGUUCCAGAGAUAACACAUCAGAUGUUAAAGAUAGCAAGAAAACAAAAAUUAGAGUGGAUAUAUACAUGAAAUCCAGGGAACUUUUAUAUGAUAUUCCGACAUAAGAACAUUUUCUUGUCGGAACCAACAUGCACAGCUUCUAGAUCUGGGGAGUCCAGAGCUAGAUCUACGGAAAAUGGACAUGAAUCAAGGAGAUCCACAGCCAAAAUCUAAUGAAACAUCAAGAUAUGUACAUAUAUUGGACGGAGAUAAAAGGAUUUGAAGCAAAAGCGUUGUUGGUACAGUACAGGAAAAAAAGGUCCCAUUGUAAAUAUUCAAAACUGAGAGAAAGAGAGAGAGAGGCAUGAUAUGGAAAUGGAUUAGGAAAGAGAAAACUUACAUAUGAGAUUGGGUUAACAAACGGCUCUUUAAGGGAAUUUUUGCCCUUCUGGAGAGAGAGGAGAGAGAGAGAUUGGAGGGAGGGAGGAAAGAGAAGGAAGAGAGAGGAGAGAGAAACCUGAAGGGAAAGAUAAGAUCUGAAGAAAGGGAAAGGGUUUUUAUUUUUAUUUUUUUUGAGUGGAACAGAGAGAGAACCCUAAAAUAAUUGAAAAUCAUUUUCUAAUUUUAAAAUAUACACAAUCUAAAAUAAAUAUCUUUCCAAAAGGCUUUUUUCAUUUUUCUCUCCGCGUUGUACUUGAAAUGAAGACUUUCUUUUUAUGUUUGGUCACUGUAAGAAAGCCAUUUGAGAAGAAGACAAAACAAAAAAAAUAACAAAGCCCACUUAUUGGUCUUUUUGACAUCGUGUCAAAACCAAAUUUUUUAAAAGGCAACGAGAUCGUUCGUGAAAAGAUGAGACGAGGAACAUGAGAUUAUGAAGAAAAAAUACUAAUUCUUCAUAAAACUUUCUAUUGGUAAUUUUUUUUUUCUGUAAUAACAAAUUCUGUGUUUAGCAAACCGAACGUUUUGGGAAUGUUAAGACACAAGUGUAUCCAAUGUGAAGCUCAUAUUUUAUACAUAUAUUGCAUUGCUCAUAGUCAGAGCUUGUCCCUCGCAAAUCAUAAUAAUUCCAUUCCUGUGCGUUCUCUGAACCAGAACUUCGCUGAUUCCCCCAAAGUUAUCAAAUAGAUUUAAACAGAUGCAAAUAUUGCACAACGAUCAUGACUACCUUGAAUAAGAGAUUUGACAUUUAUUACAUACAAAAAAAAAGUCCGAAGGUAUGAUCAUCUUUUACAAUCCAUAAAAUAUAUAGAAAAGGAUACACGUAAGUAAUUUUAAUUUCCGUAGCCCAAAAUAACGAGAAGAAGAGAGAGACAGAGAAGAGAUGCUUUUUCAGGAAAUAAUCAGGCAUUAACAUUGUCAAUAUAUCUCUCUUCUUUCUAACAACCCAUCUCUUUAUCUUUUCUUUGUUCUAGCAAAAAUUCUUAAGGAGGCAGAAGAAGAAGAGAACCAUCGUAAGAAGAUAAAGACUUCUUACUCGCAUUUGAUAGACCGGUAAAUGUGACGAACGAAGAAAAGUGCAGCGCGGAAGCCGACAGUCCCGAGCAUUAAGAAGAACCCGUAGCAAAUGCAAGCCAUGUACCCGAAGAAGAACGAUGUUUGCAUGAAUCCAGACAUGUCUGAUCGUGCGUAGUAGUAGUAUAAGCAGUAGGCGUAGAUAAACAAACCGGUCGACCCACCGCAUAGGAAUGAUCUGCAAAUAAAAACAGUCUCAGGUUCUAUUGUUCAGAGAGAGAAGAAGGUAAAGACAAUGGGAAAUGGCUUAACGAACCUCCACCACCAUUGGUGAUCUUCAGCAGCGAGCUGGAAGUAAGUCAAGGCGACGGUUAUAAAAGCAGUGACAAUGAUGAGGAUGAUGAAGACAAUGAACAGGAUGCUGUAGAUGGUGUAGAUCCGGUGACCCCAGACACUAGCGAAAAUGUAGUAAAGCUCGAUGUAGAUGGCACUGAAAGGAAGAAAACCAGCCAUGGCCAUCUGAGGAACCGCGCUUCUGUACCAAGGGAGCGGCGGAAUCUCGCGGGGGUACUUGGUCGUGCGGCAGGGCGCUUGGAACUCAGCUUUGCAUGAUCAUCUUUUACAAUCCAUAAAAUAUAUAGAAAAGGAUACACGUAAGUAAUUUUAAUUUCCGUAGCCCAAAAUAACGAGAAGAAGAGAGAGACAGAGAAGAGAUGCUUUUUCAGGAAAUAAUCAGGCAUUAACAUUGUCAUUUUAUCUCUCUUCUUUCUAACAACCCAUCUCUUUAUCUUUUCUUUGUUCUAGCAAAAAUUCUUAAGGAGGCAGAAGAAGAAGAGAACCAUCGUAAGAAGAUAAAGACUUCUUACUCGCAUUUGAUAGACCGGUAAAUGUGACGAACGAAGAAAAGUGCAGCGCGGAAGCCGACAGUCCCGAGCAUUAAGAAGAACCCGUAGCAAAUGCAAGCCAUGUACCCGAAGAAGAACGAUGUUUGCAUGAAUCCAGACAUGUCUGAUCGUGCGUAGUAGUAGUAUAAGCAGUAGGCGUAGAUAAACAAACCGGUCGACCCACCGCAUAGGAAUGAUCUGCAAAUAAAAACAGUCUCAGGUUCUAUUGUUCAGAGAGAGAAGAAGGUAAAGACAAUGGGAAAUGGCUUAACGAACCUCCACCACCAUUGGUGAUCUUCAGCAGCGAGCUGGAAGUAAGUCAAGGCGACGGUUAUAAAAGCAGUGACAAUGAUGAGGAUGAUGAAGACAAUGAACAGGAUGCUGUAGAUGGUGUAGAUCCGGUGACCCCAGACACUAGCGAAAAUGUAGUAAAGCUCGAUGUAGAUGGCACUGAAAGGAAGAAAACCAGCCAUGGCCAUCUGAGGAACCGCGCUUCUGUACCAAGGGAGCGGCGGAAUCUCGCGGGGGUACUUGGUCGUGCGGCAGGGCGCUUGGAACUCAGCUUUGCUGUUUUUACCGGCGAUGCCACCUAAGACGAGUAGAGGCGAUGUGACUAGAGUCCAUAUAAGGACGAUCACGACAAUGGUUCCAAAGGGUAGUGCUGCGGUUGCAGUGUAGGUGAUGGCUACGGUGUUGAGGAAGCAGAAGGUUAGGAGUAAAGGACCGUGGGUGCUGUUUUUUAUGCUAAGGUAAAAGACUUCUUUUAUCUUCUAAAAAGUUGUCGUCAGCAUCAUCGUUCUCUGGUCUGGUGGUGUUAUUUUUAGUUAGAACAACAUGUAUACUGUGUCUUUCAGGCCGAAAUGGGGUGUACUGAGACCGAGUUGGGGGAUGAUGGUAGCGCUUGGAUAACAAAGUCUCAUAAUUUUCUGUUUCAAGUAAAGCGUUGUCCUUGGUAUCUUGUAAGUUACAUUCUCAAAUACCUUCAUUUUUUUUUUUGCUAUGUCUUGCCUGCCCCUCAUGACUUGAAGCCUACCUCUUUCUCUCGCUCGCUCAAUCAACUAUUUAGGAAGACAGUACUGGUGUGGUGAAAGUAGUGGGAGCUGAAGCUGCUGAUGACUUUCUUGAUACUCUGACACCGCAUUUGGAUAUGUCACUAAGUGAAAUCUUUGGUAGUAUUGUAGAACCUAAACAAGGCUCUCAGGUUACCUUUUCUCUUUCAUUUUUUUUUUGUCUUUCUCUGUUUAUUUUAGUCUUUUUCAUUGGGUUGGAACCAACAGUGUGAUUGUUUUCAUCUCUAGACGAUUUUUCGGGCUUCUCUCGAUACUGGUACCUCCUUAACUAUUAUUGGCGAGGUAAAGGAAGCCCCCAUGUGUUUAUUCUUUAUAUUGUGGAUCAUGUAAGAGUGGCUGUGCAAGCUAAUAUAAGUUGAUGUGUCUGUGUCCUUGUCUGUACUGUAGGCUGCUAGAGACGAAGCUGGUAAUCUCACGAUUCAAAACACCAAUGAACAGCCUUUUAGGAUCUUCAGUGGAGAGGGCUCGUUUGAUAAAAUGGUUGCCAACUUGAAGUCAAAUUCAGAGUAAGGACAGAGACUCAUCAUGUUUUUGUUUAUACAUGGUGAUGAUAAUCAAAUUUUCUUGUGUUAUUUUUUAUGCAGGUUUUAUUUUUUCUAUUCCAAGAUCUUUGGAACUAUUGCUUUUGCUAUAGUUGUUUUUAAAGGCGUGAGUUUCAUACGAAGGGUUUUACGUGAGAGAGCAGAUAAUGCUGAUUCAGACGACGAAGAAACGCCAUGAGGGAGUAGAAUCAGACAACAGUAGUUUAUAGGAUCAGCUUUAAAGGCUCAGGCAGAAGAAUCAGACACCAAUGAUUUAUAACUAGGAUAGAUUUUUUAUCUAUGGUAUUGGGUAGGCAAAAUGUUUAUGAAUAUUUUAACAAACCAUCGUUUCUUAUUCUGACAGAUGAACAAAUUUAAAAAAAAAUUAUAUUGUCCAAAUUAACUAUGUGAUUCUAUUACAUAGUUGAACACACGUUGAUUUAUUCUAUUUAUAGCUUUACAAAACUUGUUAAAAGGAUAUAAUUUAAUUUAAAUAAGAACAUUAUUUCAAUGUAAUAAAAGCAGACAUUUUCCCUUUGUUUGGAUCAAAUUAAUGUAAACAGCCAUUAAAUUAGUCAAUGAACAUAAAUUCACCAACUCGGACAUAUAAUGUACGAAAUAAAAACAUUUAAUUAAAAAGAAUAUCUGUUACAACUUACAAGUCAGUAAAAUGUUUAUAAAAAUAACAAAAGAAAGAGAAAAAAAAAAUACAAAAGUAAAAAAAAUUCAAACUUCCCUUGCAGAUUUUCUUCCUCAGACAUACAAACAAACAAACAGAACAUAAAAAGCAACCGUAUGAUAAAACAACUCUUAAACUCAGAUGGGGUUACCUGAAACUAAUCAUCUGAUGGUGACGAACUUGUUAGUCCCAUGUCUAGCCCAAUGGCUCUUAAGAUCAAUGGGGCUCCCAAAGUUAAACCCAUCAGAAGAAAGUUUCUCAAGAACCUUCUUAAACGCUCCUUGACUCAUCUUCCUCCCGGAGAUCCUCGCUCCACGGCGUUUAGUACUCAUCGGCAACGGGUGCAUCGAUAUGUUCGUGGUGCAACACGCAGACUGCCAACCGCCGCAUCCCCAACGGUAGCAUUGCUGAGGAGCUCCGGUGCAAGUGCAGACCGGUACAGGUAAACCGGAAAUGUCCAUGUUCACUCCGUUGAUAAUCAAGUCAACGCUUUUCUUAGCCGGUUUGACUCUUGAAACGUUAGUCUUGCUGUCGUUCUCUUCUUUCGGUUUACGAGGCUUCUUCCCCUUUGCUGUUGCGCUAGCUUUUGAGUUAGUCUUUCUCUUCUUGUUAGGCUGAACAAUCUCUUCUUCUUCUUCGCAUUUAACCGGGUUAUCCUCGGUUUGAUGAUGGUGAUGGUGAUGCAUGGACGGGGCUGAUGAAGUUUCGGGGAGAACGUUUCCGUAGUUAGGAGAGGUUGUUACAGGCAACAUGUUGAAGAACUUGUCCUUCUGUUGGUUAAUCCAGUUGUAGCUCAUGUGGAUUGGUGGCUCAGGGUGGUGGUAUGACCCGUUUUGGCCAAUCAUUAGAUUUGGAUCUCGACCGGGUAGAAACGGUUUAGUGUUCCGGUCAGCGCUUGACAUUAGCUGCAAACCGAG